RNAcentral lists this transfer RNA (95 nucleotides) under Beauveria bassiana ARSEF 2860. RNAcentral's name for it is "tRNA-Leu (CAA) (tRNA-Leu-CAA-1-1)". It matches the Rfam family "tRNA". Rfam says of the family: Transfer RNA (tRNA) molecules are approximately 80 nucleotides in length. Their secondary structure includes four short double-helical elements and three loops (D, anti-codon, and T loops). The record is from RNAcentral. Lineage: Eukaryota; Fungi; Ascomycota; Sordariomycetes; Hypocreales; Cordycipitaceae.
GGCGACAUGGCCGAGUGGUUAUGGCGGUCGGUUCAAGUUUGAUGGGUUUUAUUCGACUGACGAGAGUCUCGAGGGUUCGAGUCCCUCUGUCGUCA